AGUGAACGCUGGCGGUAGGCCUAACACAUGCAAGUCGAACGGCAGCACAGUAAGAGCUUGCUCUUACGGGUGGCGAGUGGCGGACGGGUGAGGAAUACAUCGGAAUCUACUUUUUCGUGGGGGAUAACGUAGGGAAACUUACGCUAAUACCGCAUACGACCUACGGGUGAAAGCAGGGGAUCUUCGGACCUUGCGCGAUUGAAUGAGCCGAUGUCGGAUUAGCUAGUUGGCGGGGUAAAGGCCCACCAAGGCGACGAUCCGUAGCUGGUCUGAGAGGAUGAUCGGCCACACUGAAACUGAGACACGGUCCAGACUCCUAGGGGAGGCAGCAGUGGGGAAUAUUGAACAAUGGGCGCAAGCCUGAUCCAGCCAUACCGCGUGGGUGAAGAAGGCCUUCGGGUUGUAAAGCCCUUUUGUUGGGAAAGAAAGGCAGCAGGUUAAUACCCCGCUGUUCUGACGGUACCCAAAGAAUAAGCACCGGCUAACUUCGU
Molecule: ribosomal RNA, 491 nt
Filed under: uncultured bacterium
Lineage: Bacteria
Description: partial 16S ribosomal RNA
Rfam family: Bacterial small subunit ribosomal RNA
Source: RNAcentral